Molecule: ribosomal RNA, 477 nt
Filed under: uncultured bacterium
Lineage: Bacteria
Description: bacterial SSU rRNA
Rfam family: Bacterial small subunit ribosomal RNA
Source: RNAcentral
AGCGAACGUUUGCGGCGGGCCUAACACAUGCAAGUCGAACGCACUAGCAAUAGUGAGUGGCGCACGGGUGCGUAACACGUGGGUAAUCAACCCUUCAGCCUGGGAUAACGACUCGAAAGGGUCGCUAAUACCGGAUACGGCGCGAGAGGCUUCGGCUUCUCACGAGAAAGCCACGCAAGGGGCACUGAAGGACGAGCCUGCGGCCCAUCAGCUAGUUGGUGAGGUAAGAGCUCACCAAGGCUAAGACGGGUAGCUGGUCUGAGAGGAUGAUCAGCCACACUGGAACUGAGACACGGUCCAGACUCCUACGGGAGGCAGCAGUGGGGAAUAUUGCGCAAUGGGCGAAAGCCUGACGCAGCCACGCCGCGUGAGUGAUGAAGGCCCUCGGGUCGUAAAGCUCUGUGGAGAGGGACGAAGAAAGCCUGUGAAGAGCAGGCCUUGACGGUAUCUCCUUAGCAAGCACCGGCUAACUCCGUG